AUGACGGCGCUCUUGUCAGUGGAGGGUGAGUUUGGAGGUGGUGCUGAGCUCCUGUUUGAUGGAAUAAAGAAGCAUCAAGUCACCUUGCCUGGCCGGGAGGAGCCCGGGGACAUCCGGUAUCUCCUUGUCUGGAUCAAGAAGAAUCUGCUGAAAGAGCAGCCAGAGCUAUUCAUCCUGGGAGACAGCAUGCAGCCAGGAAUUCUGGUGCUGAUGAACGCUGCUGACUGGGAACUUCUGGGGGAGCUGGACUACCAGCUACAGGACCAGGACAGCGUCCUCUUCAUCUCCCCGCUGCUUGGUGGAUGAGGGCCCCUCUCAGG
RNA transcript from Dipodomys ordii (Ord's kangaroo rat), 320 nucleotides. It is a transcript of the gene named ubiquitin-related modifier 1 pseudogene, with no coding region annotated. Lineage: Eukaryota; Metazoa; Chordata; Mammalia; Rodentia; Heteromyidae. The record is from RefSeq and is a predicted model, not a curated record. The transcript has a single exon.